AUUGUACUCCCUCCGUUCGGAAAUACUCGUCAUUAAAAUGGAUGUAUCUAGAUGUAUUUUAGUUCUAGAUACAUCCAUUUUGAUGACAAGUAAUUCUGAACGGAGGGAGUAGAAU
Molecule: non-coding RNA, 115 nt
Organism: Triticum aestivum (bread wheat)
Lineage: Eukaryota; Viridiplantae; Streptophyta; Magnoliopsida; Poales; Poaceae
Source: Rfam